Molecule: transfer RNA, 69 nt
Filed under: Marmota monax (woodchuck)
Lineage: Eukaryota; Metazoa; Chordata; Mammalia; Rodentia; Sciuridae
Rfam family: tRNA
About the family: Transfer RNA (tRNA) molecules are approximately 80 nucleotides in length. Their secondary structure includes four short double-helical elements and three loops (D, anti-codon, and T loops). Further hydrogen bonds mediate the characteristic L-shaped molecular structure. tRNAs have two regions of fundamental functional importance: the anti-codon, which is responsible for specific mRNA codon recognition, and the 3' end, to which the tRNAs corresponding amino acid is attached (by aminoacyl-tRNA synthetases). tRNAs cope with the degeneracy of the genetic code in two manners: having more than one tRNA (with a specific anti-codon) for a particular amino acid; and 'wobble' base-pairing, i.e. permitting non-standard base-pairing at the 3rd anti-codon position.
Source: Rfam by way of RNAcentral
GGUGAUAUGGCUCAAUGGUAGAGCACUUACUUAGCAUGUGCGAGGCCCUGGGUUUGAUUCUCAGCACCA